UACGUAGGGUGCAAGCGUUGUCCGGAAUUAUUGGGCGUAAAGGGCUCGUAGGCGGUUUGUCGCGUCGGGAGUGAAAACUCAGGGCUUAACCCUGAGCCUGCUUCCGAUACGGGCAGACUAGAGGUAUGCAGAGGAGAAUGGAAUUCCUGGUGUAGCGGUGAAAUGCGCAGAUAUCAGGAGGAACACCGGUGGCGAAGGCGGUUCUCUGGGCAUUACCUGACGCUGAGGAGCGAAAGUGUGGGGAGCGAACAGG
This 253-nucleotide ribosomal RNA is filed under the name uncultured bacterium. RNAcentral describes it as "partial 16S ribosomal RNA". It matches the Rfam family "Bacterial small subunit ribosomal RNA", at positions 524 to 776 of the family's 1533-position model. The record is from RNAcentral.